AGAGUUUGAUCCUGGCUCAGGAUGAACGCUGGCGGUAUGCUUAAUACAUGCAAGUCGUACGAGGGCUUUUAGCUCUAGUGGCGGACGGGUGGGUAACACGUGAGAAUCUGCCCUUAGGAGGAGGAUAACAGCUGGAAACGGUUGCUAAUACUCCAUACGCCGAGAGGUGAAAGGAUUUAUCUGCCUAAGGAGGAGCUCGCGUCUGAUUAGCUAGUUGGUAAGGUAAAGGCUUACCAAGGCGACGAUCAGUAGCUGGUUUGAGAGGAUGAUCAGCCACACUGGGACUGAGACACGGCCCAGACUCCUACGGGAGGCAGCAGUAGGGAAUUUUCCGCAAUGGGCGAAAGCCUGACGGAGCAAUACCGCGUGAGGGAUGACGGCCUGUGGGUUGUAAACCUCUUUUCUCAAGGAAGAAGUUCUGACGGUACUUGAGGAAUAAGCAUCGGCUAACUCUGUGCCAGCAGCCGCGGUAAUACGGAGGAUGCAAGCGUUAUCCGGAAUCACUGGGCAUAAA
Molecule: ribosomal RNA, 514 nt
Filed under: uncultured bacterium
Lineage: Bacteria
Description: bacterial SSU rRNA
Rfam family: Bacterial small subunit ribosomal RNA
Source: RNAcentral